RNAcentral lists this ribosomal RNA (576 nucleotides) under Dictyosphaerium sp. DHM1. RNAcentral's name for it is "eukaryotic LSU rRNA". The stretch from base 179 to 332 matches the Rfam family "5.8S ribosomal RNA". The record is from RNAcentral. Lineage: Eukaryota; Viridiplantae; Chlorophyta; Trebouxiophyceae; Chlorellales; Chlorellaceae.
GUUAAAACCCAAGGGGCGCCAGUCCCCUGACCCAGGGCUUGCCCUGGUGUUCAGGUCUGGCGGGGUAGGCUCCGGCCUGCCUGGUUAAUUAUAACAAACCUUUAACACACACCAAACCUCAAACCAAACUGAAGCUUUUGGAAGGGAGGCUUUCAGCCCCCAUCCACAAACCAAAGACAACUCUCAACAACGGAUAUCUUGGCUCCCGUAUCGAUGAAGAACGCAGCGAAAUGCGAUACGUAGUGUGAAUUGCAGAAUUCCGUGAACCAUCGAAUCUUUGAACGCAAAUUGCGCCCGCGGCCUCGGCUAAGGGCAUGUAUGCCUCAGCGUCGGUUUACACCCCUCGCUCCUUUUUACUGGGAGCGGAUCUGGCAGUAUCAGUCGCCCUUUAUUGGGCUGUCUGGGUCUGAUGAAGUGCAGAGGUUUGAGCAUGGACUCCGUUUGCAGGGCAAUAGCUUGUUAGGUAGGCGUCAGCCUGCAUUAGCCUGCUGUUGCCUGAGGGGACUUUGUUGGGAGCCUAGCAGGAAUUGGGUUUGGCUUAGGCCUUCCCUAACUCUCUCAUUCGACCUGAGCUCC